CUGCGGAGGGCAAGUCUGGUGCCAGCAGCCGCGGUAAUUCCAGCUCCAAUAGCGUAUAUUAAAGUUGUUGCAGUUAAAAAGCUCGUAGUUGAACCUUGGGCCUGGCUGGCCGGUCCGCCUCACCGCGUGCACUGGUUCGGCCGGGCCUUUCCCUCUGGGGAACCUCAUGGUCUUCACUGAUCGUGAUGGGGAACCAGGACUUUUACUGUGAAAAAAUUAGAGUGUUCAAAGCAGGCCUAUGCUCGAAUACAUUAGCAUGGAAUAAUAAAAUAGGACGUGUGGUUCUAUUUUGUUGGUUUCUAGGACCGCCGUAAUGAUUAAUAGGGACAGUCGGGGGCAUCAGUAUUCAAUUGUCAGAGGUGAAAUUCUUGGAUUUAUUGAAGACUAACUACUGCGAAAGCAUUUGCCAAGGAUGUUUUCAUUAAUCAGGAACGAAAGUUAGGGGAUCGAAGACGAUCAGAUACCGUCGUAGUCUUAACCAUAAACUAUGCCGACUAGGGAUCGGACGGUGUUACUUAUUGACCCGUUCGGCACCUUACGAGAAAUCAAAGUCUUUGGGUUCUGGGGGGAGUAUGGGCGGCUAAAAGGUGAACUCAUUGAAUUG
Molecule: ribosomal RNA, 604 nt
Filed under: Pestalotiopsis sp.
Lineage: Eukaryota; Fungi; Ascomycota; Sordariomycetes; Amphisphaeriales; Sporocadaceae
Description: SSU rRNA
Rfam family: Eukaryotic small subunit ribosomal RNA
Source: RNAcentral